GGCGAGGGGAGCAAAAUCGGCUUUCUCUGGUUGGUCCUGAGUUGGAAGCAGGGGAAAAAAUUAGGGCAGUCGUCAGUUAUUGAUCAAGUUCCAGCUAUUUGGGGCUGAUUGUUACAAAAGUGACUGUGCAGCCUCCUGGAUUGUGACCGGAGACGGCAGCCUGGCUUCCUGCAAGUCUGACGUAGGCAGCUAACUUCCUGGGAUGUUCACUGUAGACGAGGGGUCGGUUUCCCAGGCGGGUGGCUGCAGGUUGUGGUGACAGCUCCGUCUUUACAGAUGUCUGAUUGUUGUCUGUGUGUGUGCUCAGUCUCUCAGAAGCGGGCGAGGACCUGUACACCUGGGCUUGGAAAGGCCUGCUAUCCAGCUGUGCUGAAGUGGGGCUAAGGAGAGACCAGUGAAGAGGCUGUGCUCCCCUGGCCCAGGGGCAUGGCAGUGGGGCCAGCGCCAAACGGAGAGGACCUAUGAGACUCCUCGCAGCUGCACUGCCCGGAGUUUGCACCCAAGCUGACAAACACAGUCAUCCUGAAGAAGAGAAAGGGCGAGCAGAGCUUGAGGUUUGGACGAGCAGAAGCCUGUAGGAUGGAAUUGAUGUGGAGCCCAGGAAGCAUCUCUAUGCCAGGGCGUGGUGGAAGGAUCUUCUUUCUUCUGAUCCCUCAGUCGAGGAGAAAUCCUAGGCUGCCUGUGAUGAAUGAAGUCAGUUUUAAUCCCUUAGCAAUGCACAGCGCUGAACAGAUAAUCUUGCUCAGUAACGUCCUAGGGACACAGACUGAGCCUCAGCAGCUGCUGUGCAGAGGAUUUCCGCCUCUGCUUGAAUAAUAGGUCUGGAUCUCACUGGUCAUUAAGGAAGAGGAAAGAGCCACUCAACAGUUCCUUGAAACCCCUGGCACUCCCAGUGUGUUAGCUUUGGAAAUCACUCCCAACAGCAGCUGUCUGACCGCCUUCCAGCCUGCCUGGUCCUGCAGCUGGAAACGCAUCGUCCCCAUCAUUUAAUUAGCGUCUGUGUGGUCCUGAUGCUUCUUGGAGAGAGAACUGCAUUGCAUCCCUUCUUCACAACAUCCAACCUUCUGUGUUGCUUUUAGACUGUUUUACUGGGUCUCCG
Molecule: long non-coding RNA, 1099 nt
Filed under: Equus asinus (donkey)
Lineage: Eukaryota; Metazoa; Chordata; Mammalia; Perissodactyla; Equidae
Description: lncRNA (ENSEASG00005036446.1)
Source: RNAcentral